RNAcentral lists this unclassified non-coding RNA (314 nucleotides) under plant metagenome. RNAcentral's name for it is "partial contains 5.8S ribosomal RNA, internal transcribed spacer 2, and large subunit ribosomal RNA". The stretch from base 1 to 105 matches the Rfam family "5.8S ribosomal RNA", at positions 50 to 154 of the family's 154-position model. The record is from RNAcentral.
GAAAUGCGAUAAUUAAUGUGAAUUGCAGAAUUCAGUGAAUCAUCGAGUCUUUGAACGCACAUUGCGCCCCCUGGUAUUCCGGGGGACAUGCCUGUCCGAGCGUCAUUGCUGCCCUCAAGCACGGCUUGUGUGUUGGGCUUCCGUCCCUGGCAACGGGGACGGGCCCAAAAGGCAGUGGCGGCACCAUGUCUGGUCCUCGAGCGUAUGGGGCUUUGUCACCCGCUCCCGUAGGUCCAGCUGGCAGCUAGCCUCGCAACCAAUCUUUUUAACCAGGUUGACCUCGGAUCAGGUAGGGAUACCCGCUGAACUUAAGC